Molecule: ribosomal RNA, 425 nt
Filed under: uncultured bacterium
Lineage: Bacteria
Description: bacterial SSU rRNA
Rfam family: Bacterial small subunit ribosomal RNA
Source: RNAcentral
UAGGCGUCGACCGGCGCACGGGUGAGUAACGCGUAUCCAACCUGCCCAUCACUUGGGGAUAACCUUGCGAAAGUAAGACUAAUACCCAAUGACGUCUCUAGAAGACAUCUGAAAGAGAUUAAAGAUUUAUCGGUGAUGGAUGGGGAUGCGUCUGAUUAGCUUGUUGGCGGGGUAACGGCCCACCAAGGCGACGAUCAGUAGGGGGUUCUGAGAGGAAGGUCCCCCACAUUGGAACUGAGACACGGUCCAAACUCCUACGGGAGGCAGCAGUGAGGAAUAUUGGUCAAUGGGCGAGAGCCUGAACCAGCCAAGUAGCGUGCAGGACGACGGCCCUAUGGGUUGUAAACUGCUUUUAUAAGGGAAUAAAGUGAGUCUCGUGAGGCUUUUUGCAUGUACCUUAUGAAUAAGGACCGGCUAAUUCCGUG